Molecule: ribosomal RNA, 480 nt
Filed under: uncultured bacterium
Lineage: Bacteria
Description: partial 16S ribosomal RNA
Rfam family: Bacterial small subunit ribosomal RNA
Source: RNAcentral
GAUGAACGCUAGCGGCAGGCCUAACACAUGCAAGUCGAGGGGUAGAAGGAGCUUGCUCCUUUGAGACCGGCGCACGGGUGCGUAACGCGUAUGCAAUCUACCUUGUACAGGGGAAUAGCCCAGAGAAAUUUGGAUUAAUGCCCCAUAGUAUAUAACCUUCGCAUGUUGGUUAUAUUAAAGUUCCAACGGUACAAGUUGAGCAUGCGUCCCAUUAGUUAGUUGGUAAGGUAACGGCUUACCAAGACGAUGAUGGGUAGGGGUCCUGAGAGGGAGAUCCCCCACAAUGGUACUGAGACACGGACCAGACACGUACGGGAGGCAGCAGUAAGGAAGAUUGGUCGAGGGUCGCAGGACUGAACCAGCCAUGCCGCGUGCAGAAAGACGGUCCUAUGGAUUGUAAACUGCUUUUAUACAGGAGGAAUCACUCCCACGUGUGGGGGCUUGACGGUACUGUAGGAAUAAGGAUCGGCUAACUCCGUG